CGUCUAUAUACGUAUAGCAUAUCAAUAAGCGGAGGAAAAGAAACUAACAAGGAUUCCCUUAGUAACGGCGAGUGAAGCGGGAAGAGCUCAAAUUUGAAAUCUUCAAGGUUCUACCUUGACGAAUUGUAGUUUAUAGAAGUGUUUUCUGUUAGUGGAGUGGCAAAAGUUCUUUGGAAUAGGACAUCAUAGAGGGUGAGAAUCCCGUAUUUGGUCAUUCCUCCUAGCGUUGUGAUACACUUUCAACGAGUCGGAUUGUUUGGGAUGCAGUCCAAAAUGGGUGGUAAAUUUCAUCUAAAGCUAAAUAUUGGCGAGAGACCGAUAGCGAACAAGUACCGUGAGGGAAAGAUGAAAAGAACUUUGAAAAGAGAGUUAAACAGUACGUGAAAUUGUCAAAAGGGAAGCGUUUGACACCAGUGUUGUUUUUCCGAAAAUCAAUUACGAAUGUUUUAUUUUUGAGGAGUUAUGACUUCAUCGGCUUGCUCCUUUCUUUAUGAAACUUUCUUAAUGCACUUUUCGGUUAACAAGUCAACAUCAAUUUCUUUUGUUGUAAAAGGGUACGAGGAAGGUGGCUUUCUUUUCGGAGAAAGUGUUUAUAGCCUUGUACCUCUGCAAUCGGAGAGAUUGAGGUCUGCAGCGUAGAUCCUUCGGGGUUAGAUACAUUUGUGCUAAGUUAUAGCUUUUCAUAGACAACUUGUUGACUAUGUUAAGUCUUGUAGCUUACUCGCUUAUGCUAUUUUACCUACGCUUAGGAUGUUGAUAUGCAUGACUGAUAU
RNAcentral lists this ribosomal RNA (773 nucleotides) under uncultured Neocallimastigales. Its description in RNAcentral is "partial large subunit ribosomal RNA". It matches the Rfam family "Eukaryotic large subunit ribosomal RNA", at positions 26 to 640 of the family's 3401-position model. The record is from RNAcentral. Lineage: Eukaryota; Fungi; Neocallimastigomycota; Neocallimastigomycetes; Neocallimastigales.